RNAcentral lists this ribosomal RNA (119 nucleotides) under Spirodela intermedia. Its description in RNAcentral is "5". The record is from RNAcentral. Lineage: Eukaryota; Viridiplantae; Streptophyta; Magnoliopsida; Alismatales; Araceae.
CCCCCCUUAGUGGGAGAGUUACCACUGGAUGCCAUAAGAACUCUGAAGUUAAGCGUGCUCGGGUUGGAAGUAGUCCCCGGAUGGGUGACCUCCCUAGGAAGUCCCCGGGUAUCGAUGCA